This 761-nucleotide ribosomal RNA is filed under the name uncultured Prevotella sp. Its description in RNAcentral is "bacterial SSU rRNA". It matches the Rfam family "Bacterial small subunit ribosomal RNA", at positions 28 to 776 of the family's 1533-position model. Lineage: Bacteria; Pseudomonadati; Bacteroidota; Bacteroidia; Bacteroidales; Prevotellaceae. The record is from RNAcentral.
GAUGAACGCUGGCUACAGGCUUAACACAUGCAAGUCGAGGAGAAACGGCAUUGGGUGCUUGCACUGAAUGGACGUCGACCGGCGCACGGGUGAGUAACGCGUAUCCAACCUUCCCGUUACUGCGGGAUAACCUGCCGAAAGGCAGACUAAUACCGCAUGUUCUUCGAUGACGGCAUCAGAUUCGAAGCAAAGAUUCUUCGGUAACGGAGGGGGAUGCGUCUGAUUAGCUGGUUGGCGGGGCGACGGCCCACCAAGGCGACGAUCAGUAGGGGUUCUGAGAGGAAGGUCCCCCACAUUGGAACUGAGACACGGUCCAAACUCCUACGGGAGGCAGCAGUGAGGAAUAUUGGUCAAUGGGCGGAAGCCUGAACCAGCCAAGUAGCGUGCAGGAGGACGGCCCUACGGGUUGUAAACUGCUUUUGUGCGGGGAUAAAGUGAGGGACGCGUCCCUUUUUGCAGGUACCGCAUGAAUAAGGACCGGCUAAUUCCGUGCCAGCAGCCGCGGUAAUACGGAAGGUCCGGGCGUUAUCCGGAUUUAUUGGGUUUAAAGGGAGCGUAGGCCGGGGAUUAAGUGUGUUGUGAAAUGUAGGCGCCCAACGUCUGACUUGCAGCGCAUACUGGUUCCCUUGAGUACGCGCAACGCCGGCGGAAUUCGUCGUGUAGCGGUGAAAUGCUUAGAUAUGACGAAGAACCCCGAUUGCGAAGGCAGCCGGCGGGAGCGCAACUGACGCUGAAGCUCGAAGGUGCGGGUAUCGAACAGG